GCAACCUGCCCUUUAGACGGGGACAACAUUCCGAAAGGAGUGCUAAUACCGGAUGUGAUCAUCGUGCCGCAUGGCAGGAUGAAGAAAGAUGGCCUCUACAAGUAAGCUAUCGCUAAAGGAUGGGCCUGCGUCUGAUUAGCUAGUUGGUAGUGUAACGGACUACCAAGGCGAUGAUCAGUAGCCGGUCUGAGAGGAUGAACGGCCACAUUGGGACUGAGACACGGCCCAAACUCCUACGGGAGGCAGCAGUGGGGAAUCUUCCGCAAUGGACGAAAGUCUGACGGAGCAACGCCGCGUGAGUGAUGAAGGAUUUCGGUCUGUAAAGCUCUGUUGUUUAUGACGAACGUGCAAUGUGUGAACAAUGCAUUGCAAUGACGGUAGUAAACGAAGAAAGCCACGGGU
RNAcentral lists this ribosomal RNA (402 nucleotides) under uncultured bacterium. Its description in RNAcentral is "bacterial SSU rRNA". It matches the Rfam family "Bacterial small subunit ribosomal RNA", at positions 121 to 498 of the family's 1533-position model. The record is from RNAcentral.